AUCUACCGGUCGAGCAAGUCUCGUAAAUUUCACGAUUGCGAGCCACGCUUCACGCAACCGUGUUUGCGUACUUGUGUUUCGAGUUGCGUGGUCGUGCGGGGUUACAAAUUUAAAUCCGUUCCAACAUGCUGUCAAAAUUAAAUCAAUAUGUCAAUAUGGCUUGAUAUGGCUACUGGGUGUAAAAGAUAAAUCUUAUUCUAUCUGUUCUUAAUGAGUUUUAGAUAAUUUUAGUUGUAUUUCUUUGUAAUUUUGUGUUGUACAAAGAUUAAUUUAACAUUUUCUCUGGAAGUAUUAAUUUAGAAAGAUAAUAUGCUUCAUUGGUGUUGUGUUUUGAAGUGUGAAAUGCAAAGUAAUUGUGAUAAAGUCAAGAUAAAGUUCACUUUUAAACUGAACUAAAUAAGGUAUCUGAGAGACAACAAUGGUUAAAUGCAAUACAAUGUACAGGUUUUACUAGCGAAAUGAAAAUUUUACUGUCCUGUCUGCUGUAAUCAUUUUAUAUCUGGAAAACCAGCCGACUUAAUCGAUAAUAACAAUCUCCAGAUUGGGUUCCUUCAAUAAAUAUGGGCUAUAAACACAAUGAAAUAAGUUCCCCAAAAUCUAAAAUGGAGUGGUAUCAAAGGAGAAUUAAAGAAAAACAUAUUCAUAUUGAAAUUAUUUAUAAGGCACUGGACUGUCUUAAAUUCUACAAUAAUACAAGAAUCAGCUAAGAGAAGUGGUCUACAAAAAACCAGGAAGGAAACGGAAUAUGUGGCUACGAAAGGCAAAAGAAAGGUUUACAAAGCAAAUGUGACACAUUUUUUUGAAAUAUUUAGGAAUAUCAGUAAAUUGCAUUAAAAAAAUGUAUGAAAAGAUUUUGUUCAAUAAAAAUGUUUAUAUUUA
Diabrotica virgifera virgifera (western corn rootworm) is the source of this 879-nucleotide long non-coding RNA. RefSeq lists it as uncharacterized. The record is from RefSeq and is a predicted model, not a curated record. Lineage: Eukaryota; Metazoa; Arthropoda; Insecta; Coleoptera; Chrysomelidae. The transcript has 3 exons.